CUACGGGCUGCUCCAGUGGGGAAUAUUGGACAAUGGAGGCAACUCUGAUCCAGCAAUUCCGCGUGAAUGAUGAAGGUCUUCGGAUUGUAAAAUUCUUUUAGUUGGGAAGAUAGUGACGGUACCAACAGAAAAAGCACCGGCUAAUUACGUGCCAGCAGCCGCGGUAAGACGUAAGGUGCAAGCGUUAUCCGGAAUUACUAGGCGGAAAGGGCAUCUAGGCGGUUAAUUAAGUCAGAGGUGAAAAGUCAGGGCUCAACCUUGGCCUUGCCUUUGAUACUGGUUAACUAGAGUGCGGGAGAGGAGGGCGGAACUACAAGUGUAGCGGUGAAAUGCGUAGAUAUUUGUAGGAAUGCCAAUGACGAAGGUAGCUCUCUGGACCGAUACUGACGCUAAAGUGCGAAAGCUAGGGGAGCAAACAGGAUUAGAUACCCCAGUAGUC
RNAcentral lists this ribosomal RNA (439 nucleotides) under uncultured bacterium. Its description in RNAcentral is "partial 16S ribosomal RNA". It matches the Rfam family "Bacterial small subunit ribosomal RNA", at positions 339 to 795 of the family's 1533-position model. The record is from RNAcentral.